This 255-nucleotide ribosomal RNA is filed under the name uncultured bacterium. RNAcentral's name for it is "partial 16S ribosomal RNA". It matches the Rfam family "Bacterial small subunit ribosomal RNA", at positions 524 to 777 of the family's 1533-position model. The record is from RNAcentral.
UACGUAGGGUGCAAGCGUUAAUCGGAAUUACUGGGCGUAAAGCGUGCGCAGGCGGUGAUGUAAGACAGGUGUGAAAUCCCCGGGCUCCAACCUGGGAACUGCAUUUGUGACUGCAUAGCUAGAGUACGGUAGAGGGGGAUGGAAUUCCGCGUGUAGCAGUGAAAUGCGUAGAUAUGCGGAGGAACACCGAUGGCGAAGGCAAUCCCCUGGACCUGUACUGACGCUCAUGCACGAAAGCGUGGGGAGCAAACGAGG